CAAGUACUGGUCUCGGCCGAUUGAGGAGAGCACCACAGUGGUCACCACGCAGUCCGCUGAGGUUGGACCUGC
This 72-nucleotide microRNA precursor is filed under the name Homo sapiens (human). RNAcentral's name for it is "mir-622 microRNA precursor family". It matches the Rfam family "mir-622 microRNA precursor family". Lineage: Eukaryota; Metazoa; Chordata; Mammalia; Primates; Hominidae. The record is from Rfam by way of RNAcentral.